This 1069-nucleotide ribosomal RNA is filed under the name uncultured eukaryote. RNAcentral describes it as "SSU rRNA". It matches the Rfam family "Eukaryotic small subunit ribosomal RNA", at positions 116 to 1102 of the family's 1831-position model. The record is from RNAcentral.
UUUAUUUGAUGUUACCUUGACUACAUGGAUAUCCGUAGUAAUUCUAGAGCUAAUACAUGAGAGCACGCCCGACUUUUGCGGGAGGGCGGCAUUUAUUAGAUCCAAAGCCAACACGGGGGCGACUCCGUCUGGGGGUGAGUCAUGAUAACUGAGCGAAUCGCAGGGGGCCCUUUUGCGGCCGGCGAUGAUUCAUUCAAAUUUCUGCCCUAUCAGCUUUCGAUGGUAGGAUAGAGGCCUACCAUGGCGUUCACGGGUAACGGAGAAUGAGGGUUCGACUCCGGAGAGGGAGCCUGAGAGAUGGCUACCACAUCCAAGGAAGGCAGCAGGCGCGCAAAUUACCCAAUCCUGACUCAGGGAGGUAGUGACAAUAAAUAACAAUACAGGGCCCUUGCGGUCUUGUAAUUGGAAUGGAAAAAACGUAAACAAGAUAUUGAGGAUCUAUUGGAGGGCAAGUCUGGUGCCAGCAGCCGCGGUAAUUCCAGCUCCAAUAGCGUAUAUUAAAGUUGCUGCAGUUAAAACGCUCGUAGUUGAAAGUUGGUGCUGCUGAUUUUCUUUUGGGGCGGCCUGCGCCUCCCUGCGGCGCGCCCCCUUUUGCGAGGGGGAAUAUGCGGGCGGGGGCUGACGGCGCGGUUGCCCUGAGCAGCGCCAUCGAAUGAAUGGCCUGGGGCGCGCGCGAAAGGGCGUGCCUCCUCCAUCGCAAGAUGGGCCGAUUACCUUGAGAAAAUCGGAGCGUUCCAAGCAGGCCGUAGCGCUUGACUGAACGGAUUAGCAUGGAAUAAUAGAAGAGGACUUUGGUCGAUCUGUUUGUUGGCUUUAUAGACCUGGGUAAUGAUGAAUAGGGACGGUCGGGGGCAUUCGUAUUUCAUUGUCAGAGGUGAAAUUCUUGGAUUGAUGAAAGACGAACCAGUGCGAAAGCAUUUGCCAAGGACGCUCCCAUUAAUCAAGAACGAAAGUUAAGGGAUCGAAGACGAUCAGAUACCGUCGUAGUCUUAACUAUAAACGAUGCCGACUGGGGAUUGGCGGGCGUCUUUCUAUGGAUGACCCCGUCAGCACCCUAUGAGAAAUCAAA